UACGUAGGGACCAAGCGUUGUUCGGAUUUACUGGGCGUAAAGGGCGCGUAGGCGGCAUGACAAGUCACUUGUGAAAUCUCCGGGCUUAACUCGGAACGGUCAAGUGAUACUGUCGCGCUAGAGUGCGGAAGGGGCAAUCAGAAUUCUUGGUGUAGCGGUGAAAUGCGCAGAUAUCAGGAGGAACACCGGUGGCGAAGGCGGGUCUCUGGGCCGAUACUGACGCUGAGGAGCGAAAGCGUGGGGAGCGAACAGG
This 253-nucleotide ribosomal RNA is filed under the name uncultured bacterium. RNAcentral describes it as "partial 16S ribosomal RNA". It matches the Rfam family "Bacterial small subunit ribosomal RNA", at positions 524 to 776 of the family's 1533-position model. The record is from RNAcentral.